UGAUAGUGUUGCCCUGUGCAUAUGAGAUUUCUCUUCUCCUUUUUCCAAAUUGCUUUUUCUCUUUUCUCCAGGUAUGUUUACUUUCUGAUGGGUUUGGAUUGAAUUUGCGUCUCUCUCUCUCUUCCAAAACUUUGUUAAAUUUUCUCACUUUUUCUCAUAUCAAAAGAAGAAAACCCAUAAAAUACUUUAUAGUAUGUAACUGAGGGAUAAAGAUCAGCAGCUGCUAACAGUAGAACACUAAUUUAUUUCGGUGCGGGAUCAUCAUCAUAUAUAUAUGACAAUAGUUUAUAGUUGCUUGAUUUGAAUGGCUAAGAAUUGAAUUGAGAAAUUUAUAUUGUAACAAUGCCAGGUGUUCGGGUCAUCUUAGAAUGAGAAAAUUGUUGUUGGGUACUGAUGGUUUCCUUUGCAAACAUCUGGAUUUGUUAUUCUUUCUUUUUUGUGAUCAUUUUCGUUUAUUUUAAAGGUGUGCAGGAACCAUGUCCUGGGAAUUGUUUUUAAUAUGAAUUAUCUAGAGAAAUGUUUUUGAUAUCUUUGUCACUUUUGGAUAUUGAAAGUUUCUAAUAUUCUUAUAUUGACAGGUUUUGUGUGGCUGCUCUGAGAUCCACCCUCCUCUACAGAAGGUUAGAUUGCAUAUAUUGAUUCAAAGGGCCUCAUAGUUUUGAUGAUGGAGAAGGCAGUGGAGUCUUUCAUAGUGUUAAUGAUAAGGAAGGAGUAACUGUUGCCAGAGUGGAAGGUAAUUCACCUAUAUGAUGCUAACAAACAAAGAAUACAGAAUUUGACCUGAGUAAAUGAAAUGCCAACCCCUGAAGUCUAAAGGCAUGUUCAAUUAACAACAAUGAUAAUAAUUCCCUUCAUUCCAUUGUAAAUUCUAAGUUCUGGUAUCGUUCUUACCACCCUUUUGAUAGUUUUUCUUUUAUAGGGACAUUGAAGGGUGCUAAUUCCUCAUGGCGUAGCUUUUUGUUUCCAUGUAGUAAUUUCAUUCUGAGACAAUUCAGGAUAGUGAGUGGAUUUUCAUUCAGGCUGUGUGUAUUUUUGGCAUUGACCAACAAUUUAUUGUAAUUUGAUGGUUUGUUUUAGGUUAUAGGCUUGCUGUAUGUUUCUCAUUUAAAUUUGUUACAUUUGACAUUUUCUUCUGUGUACUCUCAGGUUACUUAAGAGAACCUUAAUGCUGAUAAAUAAUGAAUGAAAAGUUGAAGAAGGUAGAGUAUCUUGAUCAUUGGAAUUAUCAGUAUCAUUUAGGAUUGAAUUAAGAAACCACUGAAGAAGAGAAGAAAUGUAGCAUCUGUAUUUUGAAAUAGCAGUCAAUAUCUAACUUAUAACUAUCAAAUCAAAACAACUAUCAUUAUUAUUUUCAAUGGCCAGUCUACUAUUGAACUAUAUUAACAAAAUCUUUUGUUGCCUGGGUUAAUGUGAUGUUCAAUAUGUUUUAUGAUUCUGCAGAGGUUGAAAGGUCGAACAUGUUUGGGAUUCAAAGUAUAAGGAUCUGGUGCCAAAUUUGCUGGUUAGACUUUCAAUAUAUUUAAAUGACUAUAAAAUCUUGCUGAAUGAAAAAAAAAAAAGCGACGUGCAAGGGCAACCUGAAAAAUGAACUCGAGCAUAUUAGGCAAUCCAUUGGAUUCAUUAUGACUUAUAAAUCUUAUGUCAUAUCAUUGUUUUCUAAUUAUAGACACAAUGAUGAAAUAUGAAUAGUUGUUAUUGACUACUUUCAUUUAAAAACGGGCAUGCUGGUUUUUAUCACACUGCACACAUCUUGGGGAGUUAACCCAAACAAUUGAGACCUCAAGGGGUUAAAAACAAUUGCAAGGCUCUUGCAAUGUCAUAGAAGAGAGGACUGAGAAGCUUAUCGGGUAUGCUUGCGUUUUUUGUAUUGAAUGAGUUCUAUUUUUUAUUUAUUUAGUAGAUGGCUGGGUUUUUCAAACUGUGUUUACAUUGGUGAACUGCGAGAUUAUUGAUCAUAUGAAAUACUGUGGUAGUUUUCUGAUUUAGGGAUUUGUUCCAAGUUUGUCUGUAUUUUUGCUAUAUCUUUCAUCUCCUUCUUGGUCUAAUGAGAUUUAAUGUGAUUUUCUGGAAUCAUAAUGGGAAUAAAUUUGAGUAAAAUUUGUUGGCAAUGGUAGCAAAGUUUGGUUUUGAGUUGCCGAUUAGGGUUUUAGUGUUAUUAUUCAAGUGGUUUGUAGUUUGUAGAGUGAGUGUGGUUUCACGUUUCAUGAAAGAGUGUUGAUUAUUUUCUUAUGGUUUGGUUUGUUUCUGGAUUCAUGCUUGGUGAUUCAUUAACUGAGGUACCUUGAGUAAGAAAUUGUGAUCCGGUUCUAUUCCAGCUAAUGAAGAUAAUACUAUAGUAAAAUAUGUUUUUGUUGAUAUCAAAUUGUUAGUUGCUUUUUAUUAAGAAUGGUCACAAGGAACUGGAUUUGCAAUUUUUCUUAUGAUGGUAGUUUUCCAAUUGUUUUUUUUUCCAGUGAGGAGGUGUACAUACAUUGUGAGAGUGUGCAGCCUUUUGCUGCUGCAUCAAUAUACCUCUGAUAUAUAAGAUAACAGCAUGUUUGUUCUAACCUUGAUAUUAAGCAGGGCAUCUAAUGCGUAUGUCUUCUUAUAUUAUAAUAAUAUUGGCGGGAUAUGCCAAAUAAAUAAGAAAACAUGUAAAUAAAAGUCAUCUAAUUGAUAUAAGUAAUUUGUUUAGUUUCUGUGGUAUGUAUCGUGCAGCACAAAGGCUUCCAAUUAAGCUUAAAAAGACAUUGUUAAGCUAACAGUUGACCUUUAUCAAUAGUUAAGCCUGAAUAAGAUUUUUGCUCUCUAUACAUGCCGGUGGUACCAUUAUUUUGUUCGGGUAUUAUGUUAUAUUACUUUAAGGAAAAAAUCAAGCUAUUUGUAUGUUUUUGUGAGAGGGAGAGGGAGAUGAACAAGAGGAGGAAGAUGUCUAAGAAGAGUAAGAGGAAAAGGAAUAACAGAGAAGAACACGAUGAGAAAGAAAAGACAGUGAAAAGCAAUGGACUUUGAAAUAUGAAAAUACUGUGCUUCAUGCUCCAGCUUUUACCUUUUGGAAUGUAAAAAAGAACAUCUAUGUUAGUUAUGUAUUUGUAGAUUUCCAAUCAGAUGAGUAAGUGAAAUUCUUAAUUUUCCAACCAAAUAAACUAAUCAACCUUUGUUUGCAUUUGUAUGCUUUUCCUUUGUAAUUACUAAUUAACUUUUACAUUCUGUAUUUCAAUAUGUAAUUCACACUACCAUAUGCCGCUGCAGAGCGC
Long non-coding RNA from Argentina anserina (silverweed cinquefoil), 3236 nucleotides. RefSeq lists it as uncharacterized. Lineage: Eukaryota; Viridiplantae; Streptophyta; Magnoliopsida; Rosales; Rosaceae. The transcript is spliced from 4 exons. The record is from RefSeq and is a predicted model, not a curated record.